Molecule: long non-coding RNA, 1902 nt
Filed under: Podarcis lilfordi (Lilford's wall lizard)
Lineage: Eukaryota; Metazoa; Chordata; Lepidosauria; Squamata; Lacertidae
Source: RNAcentral
CGGAGGAGGACGAGUCUUUAAUUCAUUUAAUGAGCAAAGAGGCAACCAGUCCAAUACAAGGUCUCAACACAAAGUCUCUCUCUCCCCAGAGGGUGCAGUCCUUUUAAGUGCAAGGACAACAGUGCGGUUGUUCCAGGAGUCCAAGGCUGCCUGCCUGUCCCGUUAUUCUUCUGGACGGCUCCUGGUGGAAGGUUCUCCGGCCUCUUCCACACUGUGGCCAUUCUCCCAGAUCUGGGCCACUUGCACCCACCAGGAGCGACGCCUCAACGCCUUCCACAUGGACUGCAUCAGGAGCGGCACUUUUCUCUUUUAUGAACCUCUUCCCACUCCCACGGGAAACCCCCUCAAAGGAAAUGCACCAUUCAACCUCUCUUUUUCUCUUAAAAUUCCUAUUUUGUUGUCAAUUUUCAGUAGAGAAAUGAAGUGAAAAAGGUGGCGAAAGGUCAAACCAAAGGAAACUGCUUGAAACUGUGAUACAAUACAAUAUGUAGGUAUAUACGUAAGUAGUACGAUAUAGUAAUGAGUAAAAUAUUACAGUGGUACCUCAGGUUACAUACGCUUCAGGUUACAGACUCCACUAACCCAGAAAUCGUGCUUCAGGUUAAGAACUUUGCUUCAGGAUGAGAACAGAAAUCAUGCUCUGAUGGCACGGCAGCAGCGGGAGGCCCCAUUAGCUAAAGUGGUGCUUCAGGUUAAGAACAGUUUCAGGUUAAGCACGGACCUCCGAAACGAAUUAAGUACUUCACCUGAGGUACCACUGGAUUAACAAAUCAUUGUUUUUAUAAAUGUAUUCUAUUUCUCCACAAUCUACACUCCUAUGUUGCAAGAGCAGUCCUAUCUUGUAUCCAUCGUUCAAAGGGGACCAUGGCAUUAUCUUUCCAAUGAAUCAAUAUCAGUUGUUUAGCAGAAGGAAGGAUGCAAAGAGUACAUUUACAUUAACCCGUUGUCAAUGCAUAUAAAGUUGGUAUGUAGUUCGUAUGCACCUUAAUACUUUCCUCCAAAAAUGUGCAAGCUUCGGGCAUCCCAUGAACAUAUGUUUCUUUCUUUAAUUUUUUUAUUCAUUUUUCAUUUUCAUUCAUUACAUACAUCUCAAAUUCUUAACAUUUCCUAUAUAUUCCUCCCUCCCCUCCAAGACUUCCCUCAACUUGCAUUUCUGGUUUGUUUCUAUUUUCACCCACUUUGCUAUUUCUCAACAGAAAAAGUUAUUAAUAACAUAACAUCAAACCUUAAAAACAUAAAAUUAAAAUUAAAUACAUCAGCUUAUUUCACUAUCUUCCAAACAUUUUCUGAUGCUAAUAAUGUGGAUGUUUAUUUAAAUCCUGCCAUCAAGUCUAUUGCCUUUCUUUGUUUCUGCAGAUAUAUUAUGAAUGGUUCCCAAUCUUUUUCAAAGUCUCUGUUGUCUUUUUCUCUUAGUCUUUCUGUCAUUUUUGCCCGUUCUGCAUAGUUCAUCAACUUCUCUUGCCAUUGUUCUUUAGUUGGUAUUUCUCCAGUCUUCCAAUUUUGUGCAAUCAACAUUCUUGUUGCUGUAGUGGCAUACAUAAAUAAAGUCCUCAUUUCUUUUGGUAUGUUAUUAGGUAACAUACCAUUUCUUUUGGUAUGUUAUUAGGUAACAUACCUAAUAAAAAGGCUUCUGGUUUUUUUACAAAAGUUAUUUUUAACAUUUUCUUCAAUUCAUUGUAUAUCAUUUCCCAGUAGGAUUUUACCUUCUUACAAUCCCACCACAUAUGAUAGAACGUACCUUCUGUUUCACAUCUCCAACACUUUUUCUUUUCGUUUUUAUACAUUUUUGCCAAUUUAACUGGUGAUAAAUACCAUCCGGACAUCAUUUUCAUAUAAUUCUCUCUCAAUAAUAUGCAAUCUGUAAAUUUCAAAUUUAUUUUCUACAAUUUUAUCAUUCAUGAA